RNAcentral lists this ribosomal RNA (283 nucleotides) under Paphia sinuosa. Its description in RNAcentral is "partial 16S ribosomal RNA". The stretch from base 41 to 283 matches the Rfam family "Bacterial large subunit ribosomal RNA", at positions 2048 to 2525 of the family's 2925-position model. Lineage: Eukaryota; Metazoa; Mollusca; Bivalvia; Venerida; Veneridae. The record is from RNAcentral.
CGUGGAUUGGUUGUCUCUAGAAAAAUAAGUGAAGUUUCCUUUUAAAUGAAAAGGUUUAAAUUUUUAUAAAAGACGAGAAGACCCUGUCGAGCUUGAUUAGACUUAAGAUAUUUUGGUACUAUUACUGUUUCUGAGGUUGAAUUUUAGUUGGGGAGAGCUAAACCUAAAAGAAUAGGUUUGAGGCAGACACAGAUCCUCUUUGAGAGAUAAUUGGUAAAAGUUACCGCAGGGAUAACAGCGUAAUUUUUCUUGAGAGAUCGUAUUGAGGGAAAAGUUUGCGACC